UACAGAGGUGGCAAGCGUUGUCCGGAAUUACUGGGCGUAAAGAGCUCGUAGGUGGUUUGUCGCGUUGUUCGUGAAAACUCACAGCUCAACUGUGGGCGUGCGGGCGAUACGGGGCAGACUAGAGUACUGCAGGGGAGACUGGAAUUCCUGGUGUAGCGGUGGAAUGCGCAGACUAUCAGGAGGAACACCGGUGGGCGAAGGCGGGUCUCUGGGCGAGUAAACUGACGC
RNAcentral lists this ribosomal RNA (228 nucleotides) under uncultured bacterium. RNAcentral describes it as "partial 16S ribosomal RNA". It matches the Rfam family "Bacterial small subunit ribosomal RNA", at positions 524 to 746 of the family's 1533-position model. The record is from RNAcentral.